CAUCGAUAUGAAACCUUGAUCGAAGAGUCCCAAACCAGUGGGACUCUUGACCCCGGUACCCAAAAUAUGUGGGACUCAUGAUCAGAGAAUUUUGAUUCUCGAUCACAGAGUCCCAGACAUGUAGGACUCAUAGUCCAUAAAUAUUAGGACUCUUCAUCAGCCAUCAGAUCAGAUAGGAACCUCUAAUGUGUGUGACCCC
RNAcentral lists this long non-coding RNA (199 nucleotides) under Elaeis guineensis (African oil palm). Its description in RNAcentral is "long non-coding RNA (EGUI_LNC076087)". The record is from RNAcentral. Lineage: Eukaryota; Viridiplantae; Streptophyta; Magnoliopsida; Arecales; Arecaceae.